Molecule: ribosomal RNA, 216 nt
Filed under: Glomeromycotina sp.
Lineage: Eukaryota; Fungi; Glomeromycota
Description: partial small subunit ribosomal RNA
Rfam family: Eukaryotic small subunit ribosomal RNA (bases 40-216)
Source: RNAcentral
GGGUCAGUAGGUUGGUCGUGCCACCGGUACGUACUGGUCUCACUGAUUCCUCCUUCCUGAAGAACCGUAAUGCCAUUAAUUUGGUGUUGCGGGGAAACAGGACUGUUACUUUGAAAAAAUUAGAGUGUUUAAAGCAAGCUAACGCUUGAAUACAUUAGCAUGGAACAAUGAAAUAGGACGAUCGAUCCUAUUUUGUUGGUUUCUAGAAUUGACGUA